Condylura cristata (star-nosed mole) is the source of this 478-nucleotide long non-coding RNA. RefSeq lists it as uncharacterized. Lineage: Eukaryota; Metazoa; Chordata; Mammalia; Eulipotyphla; Talpidae. The record is from RefSeq and is a predicted model, not a curated record. The transcript has 2 exons.
CCCUUAAAACCCCUGUGUCAAGAGGGGGAAGGCCAGCAUCCCAGCUGCAAGUCUCUCAUUUAAGGUUCUUGCUGUAGCCAGCAGUGUCUUUGGAGUCUAGUUCAAAGCUGAGAGAGUGAACCAGGGAUCCGGGAGCCAUUGGUGGAGGGGCUGGCCUGAAGGAAGUGAAGUGUUUCAGCCAGAAUGUACUGACGCACGACCAGGAAACCACAAGACUGAGUAACUGCCAGCUGCCAUGUAAUAAAUCACAUCAUCAUAUAGCAGAUCCAGUAAAUAGCUGAGACUAGCAGGAUGACUGAACUCUGUCCUGAGAGCUAAAUGACAGAGAAAUUGGAAUGACUAUGGAACACUUCAAGUUGAUUUCUAGGUAAUGGGGUAUUUUUCCUGGAAAGACAACAGAAUAAUUCUGAACUAUUGAUUCUGUCAUGGGUACAGGCUCCCAUGUAGAGGAAAAUAAGCAAGUGUGAUGAAUUUUUCA